CGCUGGCGGCGUGCCUAAUACAUAGCAAGUCGAACGGUCUUUCUAUGGAAGCUGCUUCACUGAGAAGAUAGUGGCGAACGGGUGAGUAACACGUGGGUAACCUGCCCAUAAGAGGGGGAGUAACAUCCGGAAACGGGUGCUAAUACCGCAUAGUUUUCUUGAUCGCAUGAUUGAGAAAGGAAAGACGGCCUUUGUGCUGUCGCUUAUGGAUGGACCCGCGGCGUAUUAGUUAGUUGGUGAGGUAAUGGCUCACCAAGACGAUGAUACGUAGCCGACCUGAGAGGGUGAUCGGCCACAUUGGGACUGAGACACGGCCCAAACUCCUACGGGAGGCAGCAGUAGGGAAUCUUCCGCAAUGGACGAAAGUCUGACGGAGCAACGCCGCGUGAGUGAAGAAGGUUUUUCCGGGAUCGUAAAACUCUGUUGUCAGAGAAGAACAAGUUGGAGAGUAACUGCUCCAGCCUUGACGGUAUCUGACCAGAAAGCCACGGCUAACUACGUGCCAGCCGCAGC
Molecule: ribosomal RNA, 513 nt
Filed under: uncultured bacterium
Lineage: Bacteria
Description: bacterial SSU rRNA
Rfam family: Bacterial small subunit ribosomal RNA
Source: RNAcentral